GAUUCUUGAAUCUUCUUUUUAGCAUUUUUGAGUGAGCACAUAUGUGCAUUGGUUGCUAGAUGGAGAAGAAUCGGCUAGCAAGUUGUGUGCUAAGGCCGAAUAUAAUUUUUGUAUAUUAAUGAGUAAUGCAUGUGUUAAAUUGAUGGAAAGGGAGAGGAUGCUUUACUAGUGUAUAUAUGUGUGUAUUAGCCAAGUUUUGAACUUGAAACAAAAUGAUGUUUAGUCAAUACAAGUAACCAUACUUGUAGAAUGUAUUAAGUGUUGCAAUCGGCCCC
This 275-nucleotide long non-coding RNA is filed under the name Gossypium barbadense (sea-island cotton). RNAcentral's name for it is "long non-coding RNA (GBAR_LNC003320)". The record is from RNAcentral. Lineage: Eukaryota; Viridiplantae; Streptophyta; Magnoliopsida; Malvales; Malvaceae.